AACUGUUCGUUUAUUGAAACCGAAACGGGGAAAAGAUCGGCGGUCAUACACUACAAUUAAUUCGAAAACUCAACAUUUAGAAAAAUUUAAUUUUGAAACGUGUUUUUUUUCUACGUAAACCUUAUACUCUACAAUCAUGUUUAUAUUAUAUAAUUUAUUUUAAUAAAACCCACCCCCAUCCCUUCACGGUUAAACAAUCUCAGGAUCCGGUAUUGAUACUGUCUUAGUAUUUAGGUUUA
Molecule: non-coding RNA, 239 nt
Organism: Cinara cedri
Lineage: Eukaryota; Metazoa; Arthropoda; Insecta; Hemiptera; Aphididae
Source: the annotation of a GenBank genome assembly